Molecule: ribosomal RNA, 102 nt
Filed under: Escherichia coli
Lineage: Bacteria; Pseudomonadati; Pseudomonadota; Gammaproteobacteria; Enterobacterales; Enterobacteriaceae
Description: partial 23S ribosomal RNA
Source: RNAcentral
GGGUUGUGAGGUUAAGCGACUAAGCGUACACGGUGGAUGCCAUGCCAGUCAGAGGCGAUGAAGGACGUGCUAAUCUGGGAUAAGCGGCGGUAAGGGGAGUUG